RNAcentral lists this microRNA precursor (98 nucleotides) under Felis catus (domestic cat). RNAcentral's name for it is "mir-544 microRNA precursor family". It matches the Rfam family "mir-544 microRNA precursor family". The record is from Rfam by way of RNAcentral. Lineage: Eukaryota; Metazoa; Chordata; Mammalia; Carnivora; Felidae.
AUCACCUGGGAAUCUUGUUAAAAUGUAGAUUCUGAUUCAGUAGAUCUAACGUGGGGCCCGAGAUUCAACAUUUCUAACAAGUUUCCAGAAGAUGCUUG